GGACCAGCCAAGCUUAGGGGAUACGGCUGCUCAUGGGAGAAAAAAAAAUUGUUUCACAAAUUAAUAAUAGGAUUCUAAAAGCAAAUGAGACCAUGCUAGGGGAAUAUAAUCCAUAUUAAGAUUGGUAAUCUGGAUGCCAGAUGAUCAGUAAUUUUAGUUGUAGAGUAACGCUCGGAGAGAAGUCACAAAGAUGCAAACCCCUGGAGCAU
This 209-nucleotide long non-coding RNA is filed under the name Elaeis guineensis (African oil palm). RNAcentral's name for it is "long non-coding RNA (EGUI_LNC027497)". The record is from RNAcentral. Lineage: Eukaryota; Viridiplantae; Streptophyta; Magnoliopsida; Arecales; Arecaceae.